CACGUAGGGUGCGAGCGUUGUCCGGAAUCAUUGGGCGUAAAGAGCUCGUAGGCGGCUCGGUAAGUCGGGUGUGAAACCCCCAGGCUCAACCUGGGGACGCCACCCGAUACUGCUGUGGCUAGAGUCCAGUAGGGGAGUGUGGAAUUCCCGGUGUAGCGGUGAAAUGCGCAGAUAUCGGGAGGAACACCAGUGGCGAAGGCGGCUCACUGGCCCGGUACUGACGCUGAGGUGCGAAAGCGUGGGGAGCAAACAGG
Molecule: ribosomal RNA, 254 nt
Filed under: uncultured bacterium
Lineage: Bacteria
Description: partial 16S ribosomal RNA
Rfam family: Bacterial small subunit ribosomal RNA
Source: RNAcentral